UUCUCCCUGACUCCUUGAGAGUCCUGAAGGAACGUUGAAGACGACGACGUUGAUAGGCCGGGUGUGUAAGCGCAGCGAUGCGUUGAGCUAACCGGUACUAAUGAACCGUGAGGCUUAACCUUACAACGCCGAAG
This 134-nucleotide ribosomal RNA is filed under the name Escherichia coli. RNAcentral describes it as "partial 23S ribosomal RNA". It matches the Rfam family "Bacterial large subunit ribosomal RNA", at positions 2809 to 2925 of the family's 2925-position model. The record is from RNAcentral. Lineage: Bacteria; Pseudomonadati; Pseudomonadota; Gammaproteobacteria; Enterobacterales; Enterobacteriaceae.